This 253-nucleotide ribosomal RNA is filed under the name uncultured bacterium. Its description in RNAcentral is "partial 16S ribosomal RNA". It matches the Rfam family "Bacterial small subunit ribosomal RNA", at positions 524 to 776 of the family's 1533-position model. The record is from RNAcentral.
UACAGAGGGUGCGAGCGUUGUCCGGAAUCACUGGGCGUAAAGGGCGCGUAGGCGGUGACUUAAGCGUGUGGUGAAAGCUCGGGGCUCAACCCCGAGUCGGCCAUGCGAACUGGGUCACUGGAGCAGAUCAGAGGCAGGCGGAAUUCCGGGUGUAGCGGUGGAAUGCGUAGAGAUCCGGAAGAACACCGGUGGCGAAGGCGGCCUGCUGGGAUCUUGCUGACGCUGAGGCGCGACAGCGUGGGGAGCAAACAGG